Molecule: long non-coding RNA, 768 nt
Organism: Populus trichocarpa (black cottonwood)
Lineage: Eukaryota; Viridiplantae; Streptophyta; Magnoliopsida; Malpighiales; Salicaceae
Exons: 2
Source: RefSeq, a predicted model, not a curated record
GUAGCUUCUGCUGUAUUCACUGUAUGGGGCCUAGCUUAGCUGGUAGCAUGUAAUUUAUAAGCGCUCUUCCAUGGCUGCUACCCCCUUGCCAAAGCAAGUGUUCACGGGUAAACAAAUAACACUGUUCUGGCCUGACCCUCAUUUCAACGCUCUUUGAGCUCUGCUAUCUGUUUGCAAUCAAUUUCUUGAAUCCUUGUCACUUUACGAUUUGGUUUCACAUACUGUCAUUGUUUGAGUCCGGUAAAGUGAAUAUAGCAAGACUGCAAGAGACCUGCAAAUUCAGCCGAGAUAAUUGACAGAUAUCCGACAGCCGAGAUACCAGAUAUAUUGGUUUCAGAUACCCGAAAGGCGCAAUCCUGGUGUGAAAUUAAUGAAAUGUUACGAAGCUUUUGGUUGACAGAGAUAAUUGACAGGCAGCCAUGUUGUGCGAUGUCACUUCACUUUUCUUUUUUGGUUUCUGCAGUUUGACUUUCGAUGAUUAUAUGUCACAGUGUUCAUCUCAGCCUCUCUCUUAUAAUUCAAAUCACCGCACCCUUCUGCCACUGCAGAUCAUGCUUUAAAUCCACGUGAUUGGGUGAGAAAGAUGCUCAAUACGUAAAAAUUAACAGCAAAAUUGCUGCUAAAUGUGUCCAUACUUGUUUUCCGUCAGUCUGGUCGUGUAGCUUGGGCUUCCCUUGUCGACAUGACAAUAGCUUUUUAUUUUGGACUCUUGUUGUACACUUUAGCUUGUUUCCUAAUCAACUUUAUUUUAUCUUGAUCCCUUAUUCU